UUUCAAGUUACUGCAUUCUGAUUCAAAGGCAAUAGUGCAGGAAACAGAGAUUGUUGAGCUUCAGAAAUGUUUUUUCUCUCUACAUCAAGAAGCAGUUAACCUGUUCACAGGGAAUGUAUUUCCUAUAAAACCACAAGAAGAAUUGUAUAACAGUGAGUCAGAGCUAUUGAAGAAAGAGCAACUAAUCCAGCACUUAAAACUGGCACAAGAAGUCCUUGAAAAUGAUAGCUUUAAUUCCAUAGACAGAAGCCUCCUUGAGCUCUUGAAACUGGACUACCAGAUAAUGAAGGAAACAAUCCACAUUUUUUGCCAAAAGCAUCAGCAGGCACCAUCAAGCAGUCUUCUAGAGUUCCGGGGUACUAAGGGAAAUAGCAACCAACCAUCAGUGACAUUGUCACAGCUCAUUGCACCCAAUUCCACUGCAGUGCUGGUGACAGUGCAGGAAGCAGCAAACUCUGAUGGGUAUGGGUUCACUGUGAAGAGGCAUGCAGAUCAAGGACUGCAGAUUGUGACAGCAGAGAGCUCGGAUCUCCAGCCUAACGAUAGACUUGUGGAAGUGAAUGGUGUCUGUGUACUGAAUGCAUCAGAAGAGGAGUUCAGGGCAUAUCUUACCACCCCAAGUGUACAAAUGUUGGUACUGAGAAAUUCUGGGAAAUCUUAACUGUGAUGUAAAGCUGACAUGAUCGAACCAGAUCAGGUUCUCCAACAAUGACUACUGCUGUGCUAAAUAAUUAUUACAGGAUCACACAAAUGUAAAAAACAGUAAAAUAUCUAGUUUUGUUGCAUAUUAUUCAUAGAUUUGAUGAAGGGUCACCCCAAACAAUAUAAAAUAAAUGGUCUCUCAUUCUGACACACCAUGAUUUUAUUACUUGAUAUUGGUGUAUUACAAAUAACAUUUGCAGAAUUUUAGCACGGUCAAUUUAUUCAUAAUGUGCUGGUCUUUUGGCUUGACUUCAAUGCCAAUGCAACUGGCAUGACUCAAUCAUCAAUCCAUUUUUGUUAUCCCGUCUCAGUUUCUAAUUGACCUGUUAAAAAGAUAGGGGUGGGAAGUUGCAAGCUGCCAUGGUACAGUCAGCCCUCCUUAUCCAGGGGGGAUUGGUUCUGGGACCCCCCCCCCCCCCGUGGAUACCAAAAUUCAUGGAUGCUCAAGUCCCUUAUUUAACAUGUAUCAAUGCAGUGCUCUUUAGGACCCAUUUGAACCCCAGACUUUAUUUAACGUCUCCAUGCAGUGGACAUUAGGACCUGGCGGCAGACUUUGAAUCCACAGUGUUUCUGUUCACAAAAAUGAUCGCAAUUGAAAAUAAGGUGGAAGUAAUCAAGUGAUUGGAAAGAGGUGAAACACCAUCGGUCACUGGAAAAGCGUUAGGCUACAGUCGGUCAAUGAUCAGAACAAUUUUAAUAAAGCAUGUGAAAGGCACUGCCCUGAUGAAAGCUACAAUUAUUACUAAGCAACGCAGUGGUUUAAUUAUUGAAAUACACGUUUCUUAAGAGUUUUAUUUGCAUAGAAAAGUAGAAUAUAUACGAAGAAAAACAUUUGACUAACUGACACUAAAUAAUACCAGAUGUACCUGUUCCAACUUCAAAAACGGACUCAGGAAUGGAACUCAUUCAUAACCCGGGGACUGCCUGUACUUUUAAGUCAUUUCUAGAUUACUUCUAAUACCUAAUACAAUGUAAAUGCUAUGUAAAUUGUUAUACUGUAUUGUUUAGGGAAUAAUGACAAAAGAUAAUCUGUACAUGCUCAAGCAACGAGUGCUGGAGCGAGAACUUCCAGGUUUUCCCAAUCCGCGGUUGGUUGAAUCCGUGCAUGCGGAAUCCAUGGAUAAGGAGGGCCAACUCUACUAGUUUUUCACCCUUUGUGGAGCAUACAUUGCAACAAAGAGUGCUCAUAGACCUAAUAAUAAAAUACAAAGAAUGAAAACAUGGUGUUUCAUAGUCACAGUGAAAAGCAAACUCUUCAGCCCAGUUCACCCAUGACAAUCAGGAUGCCUAUUCAAAUAAUCAAAUUGUCCACUCAGAUCUGAUGAGUUCAUCAAUGUAAUACAACCAAAAUUGUUUAAGCCAAAGCAAAAACCUACACACAAAGUCAUAGGGAGAUGCAGCAUGUAAAGAGACUUUGGCCAAUCCAAUGCACACCAAUGAUCAAUCAUCACAUUUUUUUUUAAAAAGACACUUUCCAGAUACUACACACUAUGGACAAAUUACAAUAGUCAAUUAAUCUACCAAACUGCACAUCUUUGGAAUGUGGAAAUAAACCUGAGCUCCAGGAGGAAACCCAUGCAAUCACAGUGAGAACAUGCAAACUGCACUGCCAGGACCCAAGGUCAGGACUGAACGCAGGUUUCUGAUGUUGAGGCGAACUGGCACACUAAAUCCUCAAUUAAUGUUGCUUUCUGUGGAUGGGAAAGUAUUGCUAUUGGUUAUCAAGUUUAAUACGAAGAUUCAGAACCAUGGUAAAGAAAGUAAGGAAUCUAUCUACUAUUGCAUCAAGCAGCUAAAAUGCCCAGCCAAACCAAAAUUACUUUACAACAGGGGUUCCCAACCUUUUUAUGUCAUGGACAGCUACCAUUAACUGAGGGGUCCAUAGACCCCAGGUUGUAGACUUCUGUUUUAUAACAACCUGGAAGAAAAAUAUGGGAAGAUAUAGAAAAAUCAAUUAGAAUGGGUUUUUUAAAAAUCCUCUAAAGUACACCCAUUUGCAAUACAUUACCUGAUGCUGAUUCAGCUCCAAAAUGACAUGAUUUUUGUUCAAUCAUAUUGUGAUGGGUUUAUUAAUUUUUAAGAGUAGACUACCCUUUAAUGCUCAAAUCAGCCAGAGCAAAAGACAAAGGAAAAAGAAGUUCAAAAGAAUCAGUAAUUGGUAGUUUUUGCCAGGCACUAUGAGGAAGUCAAGAUCGUAAGUGAUCCUUGGCUGGAUGUUCAGUGCUAAUGUUGAUUUCCAGAACAAAACUUUACAGAUAUUAUAACUUGAGCCUUGCAGAGCAGCAAAAAUGGGGUAAACUAUUGCAAAUUAUACUGGUAUGGAAAUAAGUACAGCACAUUUUGCCAUUUUUGAGAGUGGAACAUAAUCUUUGAUCACAUUUAAUUAUUACACUGUCUAAUCCUAUAGUACAUUAUAACUAUUUACAACUUGAUACUCUGUCUGCAUAACACAUUCUCUCCAGGAUCAGGUGGGUUGCAGCUCACAAUUUACUCUCGCAAAAGAUA
Long non-coding RNA from Hypanus sabinus (Atlantic stingray), 3207 nucleotides. RefSeq lists it as uncharacterized. The transcript is spliced from 5 exons. Lineage: Eukaryota; Metazoa; Chordata; Chondrichthyes; Myliobatiformes; Dasyatidae. The record is from RefSeq and is a predicted model, not a curated record.